GAUGAACGCUGGCGGCGUGCCUAAUACAUGCAAGUCGAGCGAACGGACGAGAAGCUUGCUUCUCUGAUGUUAGCGGCGGACGGGUGAGUAACACGUGGAUAACCUACCUAUAAGACUGGGAUAACUUCGGGAAACCGGAGCUAAUACCGGAUAAUAUUUUGAACCGCAUGGUUCAAAAGUGAAAGACGGUCUUGCUGUCACUUAUAGAUGGAUCCGCGCUGCAUUAGCUAGUUGGUAAGGUAACGGCUUACCAAGGCAACGAUGCAUAGCCGACCUGAGAGGGUGAUCGGCCACACUGGAACUGAGACACGGUCCAGACUCCUACGGGAGGCAGCAGUAGGGAAUCUUCCGCAAUGGGCGAAAGCCUGACGGAGCAACGCCGCGUGAGUGAUGAAGGUCUUCGGAUCGUAAAACUCUGUUAUUAGGGAAGAACAUAUGUGUAAGUAACUGUGCACAUCUUGACGGUACCUAAUCAGAAAGCCACGGCUAACUACGUGCCAGCAGCCGCGGUAAUACGUAGGUGGCAAGCGUUAUCCGGAAUUAUUGGGCGUAAAGCGCGCGUAGGCGGUUUUUUAAGUCUGAUGUGAAAGCCCACGGCUCAACCGUGGAGGGUCAUUGGAAACUGGAAAACUUGAGUGCAGAAGAGGAAAGUGGAAUUCCAUGUGUAGCGGUGAAAUGCGCAGAGAUAUGGAGGAACACCAGUGGCGCAGGCGACUUUCUGGUCUGUAACUGACGCUGAUGUGCGAAAGCGUGGGGAUCAAACAGGAUUAGAUACCCUGGUAGUCCACGCCGUAAACGAUGAGUGCUAAGUGUUAGGGGGUUUCCGCCCCUUAGUGCUGCAGCUAACGCAUUAAGCACUCCGCCUGGGGAGUACGACCGCAAGGUUGAAACUCAAAGGAAUUGACGGGGACCCGCACAAGCGGUGGAGCAUGUGGUUUAAUUCGAAGCAACGCGAAGAACCUUACCAAAUCUUGACAUCCUUUGACAACUCUAGAGAUAGAGCCUUCCCCUUCGGGGGACAAAGUGACAGGUGGUGCAUGGUUGUCGUCAGCUCGUGUCGUGAGAUGUUGGGUUAAGUCCCGCAACGAGCGCAACCCUUAAGCUUAGUUGCCAUCAUUAAGUUGGGCACUCUAAGUUGGCUGCCGGUGACAAACCGGAGGAAGGUGGGGAUGACGUCAAAUCAUCAUGCCCCUUAUGAUUUGGGCUACACACGUGCUACAAUGGACAAUACAAAGGGCAGCGAAACCGCGAGGUCAAGCAAAUCCCAUAAAGUUGUUCUCAGUUCGGAUUGUAGUCUGCAACUCGACUACAUGAAGCUGGAAUCGCUAGUAAUCGUAGAUCAGCAUGCUACGGUGAAUACGUUCCCGGGCCU
RNAcentral lists this ribosomal RNA (1372 nucleotides) under uncultured bacterium. RNAcentral's name for it is "bacterial SSU rRNA". It matches the Rfam family "Bacterial small subunit ribosomal RNA", at positions 28 to 1381 of the family's 1533-position model. The record is from RNAcentral.